RNAcentral lists this transfer RNA (66 nucleotides) under Leucochrysa pretiosa. RNAcentral describes it as "tRNA-Asp". Lineage: Eukaryota; Metazoa; Arthropoda; Insecta; Neuroptera; Chrysopidae. The record is from RNAcentral.
AAAAAGUUAGUUAAAUUUAUAACAUUAAUAUGUCAAGUUAAAAUUACUAAAAAUUAGUACUUUUUG